UACGUAGGGUGCAAGCGUUGUCCGGAAUUAUUGGGCGUAAAGAGCUCGUAGGCGGUUUGUCGCGUCUGGUGUGAAAACUCGGGGCUUAACUCCGGGCCUGCAGUGGGUACGGGCAGACUAGAGUGCGGUAGGGGAGACUGGAAUUCCUGGUGUAGCGGUGAAAUGCGCAGAUAUCGAGAGGAACACCUGCGGCGAAGGCGGGUUGCUGGGCCGACACUGACGCUGAUGCGCGAAAGCCAGGGGAGCGAACGGG
This 253-nucleotide ribosomal RNA is filed under the name uncultured bacterium. RNAcentral's name for it is "partial 16S ribosomal RNA". It matches the Rfam family "Bacterial small subunit ribosomal RNA", at positions 524 to 776 of the family's 1533-position model. The record is from RNAcentral.